This 550-nucleotide ribosomal RNA is filed under the name bacterium BaP1-57. RNAcentral describes it as "bacterial SSU rRNA". It matches the Rfam family "Bacterial small subunit ribosomal RNA", at positions 88 to 634 of the family's 1533-position model. The record is from RNAcentral.
GUGACGAGUGGCGGACGGGUGAGUAAUGUCUGGGAAACUGCCUGAUGGAGGGGGAUAACUACUGGAAACGGUAGCUAAUACCGCAUAACGUCGCAAGACCAAAGAGGGGGACCUUCGGGCCUCUUGCCAUCAGAUGUGCCCAGAUGGGAUUAGCUAGUAGGUGGGGUAACGGCUCACCUAGGCGACGAUCCCUAGCUGGUCUGAGAGGAUGACCAGCCACACUGGAACUGAGACACGGUCCAGACUCCUACGGGAGGCAGCAGUGGGGAAUAUUGCACAAUGGGCGCAAGCCUGAUGCAGCCAUGCCGCGUGUGUGAAGAAGGCCUUCGGGUUGUAAAGCACUUUCAGCGGGGAGGAAGGGGGUAAGGUUAAUAACCUUAUUCAUUGACGUUACCCGCAGAAGAAGCACCGGCUAACUCCGUGCCAGCAGCCGCGGUAAUACGGAGGGUGCAAGCGUUAAUCGGAAUUACUGGGCGUAAAGCGCACGCAGGCGGUCUGUCAAGUCGGAUGUGAAAUCCCCGGGCUCAACCUGGGAACUGCAUUCGAAACU